CUAUAUAUAAUUAAAAUAGUAGAUUACUAUACCAGGGAAGUAAUUUGAUUUCUCGUAUCAAGAUGAGUAAAAGUAUCCGAGGUCUUUA
Bradysia coprophila is the source of this 88-nucleotide long non-coding RNA. The record is from RefSeq and is a predicted model, not a curated record. Lineage: Eukaryota; Metazoa; Arthropoda; Insecta; Diptera; Sciaridae.